Molecule: long non-coding RNA, 272 nt
Organism: Scylla paramamosain (green mud crab)
Lineage: Eukaryota; Metazoa; Arthropoda; Malacostraca; Decapoda; Portunidae
Exons: 2
Source: RefSeq, a predicted model, not a curated record
UUAGGUUAGGUUAGGUUAGCUUAGGUUAGGUUUGGUUAGGUUAGGUUUGGUUGGGUUACGUUUGGUUGGGUUAGGUUAGGUUUGGUUGGGUUAGGUUAGGUUAGGUUAGGUUAGGUUUGGUUGGGUUAGGUAAGGUUGCUUCAGGAAAAUCUUUUUUCUUUUCUUUUUUUCUCUUUUUUCAAGUAUUCAUGUUUAAUUAGAUCAUCUGAGUGUACUUAAGUCUCUCUCUCUCUCUCUCUCUCUCUCUCUCUCUCUCUCUCUCUCUCUCUCUC